RNAcentral lists this ribosomal RNA (423 nucleotides) under Triticum aestivum (bread wheat). RNAcentral's name for it is "partial small subunit ribosomal RNA". Lineage: Eukaryota; Viridiplantae; Streptophyta; Magnoliopsida; Poales; Poaceae. The record is from RNAcentral.
AUGCGAGCAGUAAAACCUAGAUACCAAUCCGCUCACGUCCUCGAGCCCCACGCAACUCCACUUUCUCUUCGUUUCUCUCCUCCUCCUCGAUCUCCAGCGCAUGGCAGCCGCCGCUCAUCCUUCUCCUCUUCUCUCACGUGCCACCAGAUUUUGCCUGCUUGGCAAAGUGUAAAAAAGGCAAUACCUGCUCGGCAAAGUAUAAAAAGGCAAAGAGCUGAGAAAGAAGAGAAGAAGAGGAAUCUAGCAGAGGAAUGUGAAUAUUCUCUCUUGUGGAACACAAUAAGGAGAGAAAAAAGCAUCUUUGAGACGCUUGAUCGUUCAUGCCGUGGUUGGAUGAGAAUGGAGAACUAUAAUGCAAAUGGAGGACUGUCCAUACAAAUUUUGUUUUAUUGGUCAGACUAUUUGUUCAUUUGGCUAUCUUAA